Molecule: ribosomal RNA, 497 nt
Filed under: uncultured bacterium
Lineage: Bacteria
Description: partial 16S ribosomal RNA
Rfam family: Bacterial small subunit ribosomal RNA
Source: RNAcentral
GACGAACGCUGGCGGCGUGCCUAAUACAUGCAAGUUGAGCGAUGAAGCUUGGUGCUUGCCCCAAUUUGAAGAGCAGCGAACGGGUGAGUAACGCGUGGGGAAUCUGCCUUUGAGCGGGGGACAACAUUUGGAAACGAAUGCUAAUACCGCAUAACAACUUUAAACAUAAGUUUUAAGUUUGAAAGAUGCAAUUGCAUCACUCAAAGAUGAUCCCGCGUUGUAUUAGCUAGUUGGUGAGGUAAAGGCUCACCAAGGCGAUGAUACAUAGCCGACCUGAGAGGGUGAUCGGCCACAUUGGGACUGAGACACGGCCCAAACUCCUACGGGAGGCAGCAGUAGGGAAUCUUCGGCAAUGGACGAAAGUCUGACCGAGCAACGCCGCGUGAGUGAAGAAGGUUGUCGGAUCGUAAAACUCUGUUGGUAGAGAAGAACGUUGGUGAGAGUGGAAAGCUCAUCAAGUGACGGUAACUACCCAGAAAGGGACGGCUAACUACGUG